This 301-nucleotide ribosomal RNA is filed under the name uncultured bacterium. RNAcentral's name for it is "partial 16S ribosomal RNA". It matches the Rfam family "Bacterial small subunit ribosomal RNA", at positions 509 to 807 of the family's 1533-position model. The record is from RNAcentral.
CAGUAGCCGCGGUAAAACGGAGGGGGCUAGCGUUGUUCGGAAUUACUGGGCGUAAAGCGCACGUAGGCGGCUUGGUAAGUUAGAGGUGAAAGCCCGGAGCUCAACUCCGGAAUUGCCUUUAAGACUGCCGAGCUAGUAGGUGAGAGAGGUAAGUGGAAUUCCGAGUGUAGAGGUGAAAUUCGUAGAUAUUCGGAAGAACACCAGUGGCGAAGGCGGCUUACUGGCUCAUUAUUGACGCUGAGGUGCGAAAGCGUGGGGAGCAAACAGGAUUAGAUACCCCUGUAGUCCCUGUCUCUUAUAC